RNAcentral lists this transfer RNA (89 nucleotides) under Nitrososphaerota archaeon. Its description in RNAcentral is "Thaumarchaeota archaeon tRNA-Arg". It matches the Rfam family "tRNA". From Rfam's summary of the family: Transfer RNA (tRNA) molecules are approximately 80 nucleotides in length. Their secondary structure includes four short double-helical elements and three loops (D, anti-codon, and T loops). RNAcentral also lists the same sequence under 3 other names. The record is from RNAcentral. Lineage: Archaea; Thermoproteati; Nitrososphaerota.
GGGCCCGUGGCCUAGAAUGGAUCAGGGCGCUGUUUUUUAGUGCAAGCCUCCGAAGCCGGAGAUCGCGGGUUCAAGUCCCGCCGGGCCCU